Patiria miniata (bat star) is the source of this 370-nucleotide long non-coding RNA. RefSeq lists it as uncharacterized. Lineage: Eukaryota; Metazoa; Echinodermata; Asteroidea; Valvatida; Asterinidae. The record is from RefSeq and is a predicted model, not a curated record. The transcript is spliced from 3 exons.
UUCAACCAUUGAACCAAAGGAUAAGAUCGGAGUACAUAUUUCAUAGGAGUACGAUUUUUAACAUGACACCGGGGGUUGUCGCAUUGACGUCACAGGGCCCGUGGACGACGGUCGACCGUAUCUACCGGGAUCGAGCAGAAACUUCAAGUUAAACAGACUUUGUACACAACCAAAGAAGUGGCGUCUGGAUACUACAUUCUUUCCUUGACUUUUCCUGCUGGUGUCAUCGCCCACUGUUUAGUUCCCGCAGAAAUUCCUCGUUCUGCAGCGUCAGGGCGAAUCUCUCGUCCUCAAGCAUCUGCUGCAUCUCGACAUCGUUGGCGUCCACGCUGCUCUGCUGCUGGACGUUACGCGCCAUGCGCUCCUGAAG